Homo sapiens (human) is the source of this 1462-nucleotide long non-coding RNA. The record is from Ensembl. NCBI's taxonomy places the organism in Eukaryota, Metazoa, Chordata, Mammalia, Primates, Hominidae.
AGAGAUUCCAUUUCUUCCUGGGAUUAGGAAGCACGAAGUGUCCAGAUCUGCUUCUGAAAUCUCUUCCUCCCUUAAGGGUCAAAGCUGCCUCAUGCAGACGGAGAGGAGAAGCUGCGUUCCCUGCCUUUCCCGAAUUGUUUGUGGACUGUGAGUGAUGCAUGUCCUGUGGCACCAUGGGAGCACCAGGGAACACCAUGCUGUCUCUCCCCGGAGCCCCCACUGGCGUCCUGGCCAUUUCCAGCUUGUCUCCCAAAGACAGGCUUCUUUGUGCUUUGGUCACACGGAGAAUUAUCAGUGCAGUCUCUGUCUCUCUCUCUCAUUUCCCCCUAAAUUGCCACAUGUUGCAACUCCCAGGCGUGCCCCCAGCUCUCCUGAGGCUGGUUUGCAGUGGCCGGGCCCAGCUAAAGCAACUGAACCUCCAGAGCAGAGGACAGUGUCCUGCCUGCACGUCUUGACAUGGCCCCACAGGAGGGUUCCCUGUCUUUCACGUGCUGAUAGACCAAACACACCAAACGCAUUCCCGGGCAGGUGUGUACAUCAGAACAGUGAUGAAUCAGGGACCCUUCUUAGUGCUACUAUAAGUAACAACAGUGAGUCAGACGGGUGCAAACCCUUUGGAAGACUCAGUCUGCAAGCCCCAGGGAGCACAGGGGGGCUGGAGGGAACCGGGGGAGGGAUGCACAGGCGAGAAAUGCCCAUGACCCGGUCCACAGGUCAUGCACGUCCACACUUUCUAAAAAACCACCUACAAGAAAGGGGUUGUUUCCUGGCCCCCAGUGGGGUGCAGAAUGUCAGUGCUGGGCUGCACCCUGGGCAGGGCUGCUCUGGGCAGCAUCGCCACACCCGUGUCCCAUUCUUGGGGUGCAUCCCCUUCUCACAUCUGUGUCUAAAGCCAGGAAUGGGCAGUGUGACCUGAGGAAAAUCAGGGACACCCUCUGUGUCCUCAUAUGCAAACAUGUCUCUUUCAUGCCAGUUAAAUGAAGAAAAAGGCAAGACCUAAAUCCUGAACUCCUACCGCUAUAACACAUUCCUCUGCGCUAAGGAACUGACAUUCUAAAGGUGCAGAUACCCCCGGGCUGGAGGCUGAAUGGGCAAGAAGAUCCCGGCACAGCUCAGGCUGAGUCGAAAGACCGUGGUUUUUGGCCAGGCACAGUGGUUCAUGCCUGUAAUCCCAGCACUUUGGGAGGCUGAGGCAGGCAGAUCACUUAAGCCCAGGAGUUUGAGACCAGCCUGGGCAACAUGGUGAAACUCUGUCUCUACUAAAAAUAUAAAAGUUAAGCUAGGCGUGGUGGCGCAUGCCUGCAGUCCCAGCUACUCGAGAGGCUGAGGUGGGAGGAUCGCCUGAGCCCAGGAGGUCUAAGCUGCAGUGAGCCGAGAUUGCACUACUGCACUCCAGCCUGGGUGACAGAGCAAGACCACACCUUAGAAAAAAGAAAAGAAAAGAGAAAAAGAAAAGAAAGAA